Molecule: ribosomal RNA, 378 nt
Filed under: uncultured bacterium
Lineage: Bacteria
Description: bacterial SSU rRNA
Rfam family: Bacterial small subunit ribosomal RNA
Source: RNAcentral
UAAUACGGAGGGUGCGAGCGUUGUCCGGAAUCACUGGGCGUAAAGGGCGCGUAGGUGGCUUGGUAAGCGUGCGGUGAAAGCCCGGGGCUCAACCCCGGGUCGGCCGUGCGGACUACCAUGGCUUGAGCACUGUAGAGGCAGGUAGAAUUCCGGGUGUAGCGGUGGAAUGCGUAGAGAUCCGGAAGAAUACCGGUGGCGAAGGCGGCCUGCUGGGCAGUAGCUGACACUGAGGCGCGACAGCGUGGGGAGCAAACAGGAUUAGAUACCCUGGUAGUCCACGCCGUAAACGAUGGGCACUAGGUGCUUGGGGGAGCGACCCCCUGAGUGCCGUCGCUAACGCAGUAAGUGCCCCGCCUGGGGAGUACGGCCGCAAGGCUG